UACGUAGGUGGCAAGCGUUGUCCGGAUUUACUGGGCGUAAAGAGCGCGCAGGCGGCCGAGUAAGUCGAAUGUGAAAGCCCCCGGCUCAACUGGGGAAAGUCAUUCGAUACUGUUCGGCUCGAAGAUAGGAGAGGGAAGCGGAAUUUCAGGUGUAGUGGUGAAAUGCGUAGAUAUCUGAAGGAACACCAGUGGCGAAGGCGGCUUUCUGGCCUAUUCUUGACGCUGAGGCGCGAAAGCUAGGGGAGCGAACGGG
This 253-nucleotide ribosomal RNA is filed under the name uncultured bacterium. RNAcentral describes it as "partial 16S ribosomal RNA". It matches the Rfam family "Bacterial small subunit ribosomal RNA", at positions 524 to 776 of the family's 1533-position model. The record is from RNAcentral.